UGAUGCAGCCAUGCCGCGUGUAUGAAGAAGGCCUUCGGGUUGUAAAGUACUUUCAGUUGUGAGGAAGGGGGUGUCGUUAAUAGCGGCAUCUCUUGACGUUAGCAACAGAAGAAGCACCGGCUAACUCCGUGCCAGCAGCCGCGGUAAUACGGAGGGUGCGAGCGUUAAUCGGAAUUACUGGGCGUAAAGCGCAUGCAGGUGGUUCAUUAAGUCAGAUGUGAAAGCCCGGGGCUCAACCUCGGAACUGCAUUUGAAACUGGUGAACUAGAGUACUGUAGAGGGGGGUAGAAUUUCAGGUGUAGCGGUGAAAUGCGUAGAGAUCUGAAGGAAUACCAGUGGCGAAGGCGGCCCCCUGGACAGAUACUGACACUCAGAUGCGAAAGCGUGGGGAGCAAACAGGAUUAGAUACCCUGGUAGUCCACGCCGUAAACGAUGUCUACUUGGAGGUUGUGGCCUUGAGCCGUGGCUUUCGGAGCUAACGCGUUAAGUAGACCGCCUGGGGAGUACGGUCGCAAGAUUAAAACUCAAAUGAAUUGACGGGGGCCCGCACAAGCGGUGGAGCAUGUGGUUUAAUUCGAUGCAACGCGAAGAACCUUACCUACUCUUGACAUCCAGAGAAGCCAGCGGAGACGCAGGUGUGCCUUCGGGAGCUCUGAGACAGGUGCUGCAUGGCUGUCGUCAGCUCGUGUUGUGAAAUGUUGGGUUAAGUCCCGCAACGAGCGCAACCCUUAUCCUUGUUUGCCAGCGAGUAAUGUCGGGAACUCCAGGGAGACUGCCGGUGAUAAACCGGAGGAAGGUGGGGACGACGUCAAGUCAUCAUGGCCCUUACGAGUAGGGCUACACACGUGCUACAAUGGCGCAUACAGAGGGCAGCCAACUUGCGAGAGUGAGCGAAUCCCAAAAAGUGCGUCGUAGUCCGGAUUGGAGUCUGCAACUCGACUCCAUGAAGUCGGAAUCGCUAGUAAUCGUAGAUCAGAAUGCUACGGUGAAUACGUUCCCGGGCCUUGUACACACCGCCCGUCCCCCCUGGGGAGUGGGCUGCAAAAGAAGUGGGUAGUUUACCUUUCGGGGGAGACCUUCCACUUUGGGGU
RNAcentral lists this ribosomal RNA (1091 nucleotides) under Vibrio sp. 7912M. Its description in RNAcentral is "bacterial SSU rRNA". It matches the Rfam family "Bacterial small subunit ribosomal RNA", at positions 384 to 1468 of the family's 1533-position model. The record is from RNAcentral. Lineage: Bacteria; Pseudomonadati; Pseudomonadota; Gammaproteobacteria; Vibrionales; Vibrionaceae.